CUGCGCCGGACCCGGCCGACGCCACCUUCGCCGGCCAUCUUCGCCGGCCACCUGCGCCGGACGCCGCUGUGCCCCGACGCCCCGAUAGCCGCCCGAAGCGCCGCCGCCCCGACGCCCGCACACAAGCGCCACCGCCCCGACGCCCGCACACAAGCGCCGCCGCCCCGACGCCCGCACACCUGCCCCGACGCCCGCACAGCGCGCCGCCACCGCCGACCCUCGAGCCGCCCGCGCCCGGCUUUGCCCGCCACCGCCGCCUUCCGGGAUGUUAACGAGACUCGAGAGAAGGAGGCGAGGGGUGAGGAUGCGACCGAUUAUGAUGCGGCUGAUGCAGACUAUGAGCAAGAAGAUGAUGCUGGAGGUGGAGCUGGAGAUGGGUGGUCUUCCGGUGGUGGUCAGUUUGAGGGUGGAGGGUCUUGGAUUGAUGCAUCUUUUCAAGGUCAAGGACGUCGCACACAGCAAAUAGCACUAGGGCAACGUCCAGAUUUUUCAGCGAUGACUAUGCCACCUCCUCCACCUAUCCCGCAGUUUGUACCGACUCCACAAUUUAGUUGGCCCACACCUGCACCUCAGGUCCCUCCAGGAAACUUGCUAACUCCGGGAAAUGAGGACUCUGAAGAUGCGGUCGCUUCUUUUGUGGACGGUCUUCUAAACAGUGGAGGAGCUAGCGGAUCAAAUCAACCACAUCCAUUUGAUCAACCUCCUCCAUUUGAGUAG
RNAcentral lists this unclassified non-coding RNA (717 nucleotides) under Zea mays. RNAcentral describes it as "misc RNA Zm00001eb413620". The record is from RNAcentral. Lineage: Eukaryota; Viridiplantae; Streptophyta; Magnoliopsida; Poales; Poaceae.